CAUACAAAAAAAGCGCCAGGACUGACGGUAGGUCAGUUGACGAGGAGAGGGCUAAUCGACUAUUCGGCGGAUUCCCUCCGGCUGCGUGUACAGCCGUAAGCUUAUGUUAAAAACGACGAGGUGACUCGUUGCACAAAGACAAAAGCAACACGCAUC
This 156-nucleotide non-coding RNA is filed under the name Bacillus sp. (in: firmicutes). RNAcentral describes it as "Bacillus sp. GlcN6P sequence". It matches the Rfam family "glmS glucosamine-6-phosphate activated ribozyme aptamer". Rfam says of the family: This entry contains a glucosamine-6-phosphate activated ribozyme that is found in the mRNA for GlmS. The record is from RNAcentral. Lineage: Bacteria; Bacillati; Bacillota; Bacilli; Caryophanales; Bacillaceae.